CCUACGGGAGGCAGCAGUGAGGAAUAUUGGUCAAUGGCCGGAAGGCUGAACCAGCCAUGCCGCGUGAAGGUCAGUGCCCUAUGGGCGUUAAACUUCUUUUGUGCGGGAGCAAUAAUGGUCACGUGUGGCCAGACGAGAGUACCGUACGAAUAAGCAUCGGCUAACUCCGUGCCAGCAGCCGCGGUAAUACGGGGGAUGCAAGCGUUAUCCGGAUUUAUUGGGUUUAAAGAGUGAGUAGGCUGUGAGGUAAGUCAGCGUGGAAAUGCCCCCGCUCAACGGGGUGAAGUGCCAUUGAUACUGCCUUGCUGGAAUGCGGCUGCCGUGGGAGGAAUGUGUGGUGUAGCGGUGAAAUGCAUAGAUAUCACACAGAACACCGAUUGCGAAGGCAUCUCACGAAUCCGCGAUUGACGCUGAUGCACGAAAGCGUGGGUAUCAAACAGGAUUAGAUACCCCAGUAGUC
This 460-nucleotide ribosomal RNA is filed under the name uncultured bacterium. RNAcentral describes it as "partial 16S ribosomal RNA". It matches the Rfam family "Bacterial small subunit ribosomal RNA", at positions 338 to 795 of the family's 1533-position model. The record is from RNAcentral.